GUAGAAACAACACUUCCAUUGUAAUCACUGUGAGGGUCAGGUGGUAUCUCCCUAAGCUAAUACACUAUUCUACAGUGUACUGCAUCACCUUAUGGUGCAGAGUGGCGGAUCUCUCCAUUCUUGUAUAUAGCCUCUGCCAAUCCAGACUCCAGUACUAGGUGCAGGAGUGGACAUGUUACCAAUGCAAGCUCUGUCCUUUCUGCAGCGGGCACAGUCAGGAUAGAGCAACAGAAUACAGUAGAAGAAUUGCUGGUUGAAAAAAUGGAUAAAGAUUCAAGCAGUUCAUAUUUUCCAAACUGGUUCCUCCAAUCCUAGGUGAGUGGAGGCGGAGUGGACCAUGGACUGGGAGUACCUUCAGCCUGCUUGCAAGGCAGUUUAUAUCUGGCAGUUUAUAUCUGAUAACUGCCAAUAUCCGAACUGCCACAGAAUGCUCUUUAUAUCUCCAUAGGCAAUGUGAAGAUGAAUCUAUUCGACCAGGUCAGGUUGAAUCAGGAUUUGUUAAAGGUGAAAAGUGCUUCACCUCCCUUACAAGCGGUAAUGUUCGUCACACCGCUCCACCAGCAGCUUGGGGGCGCUACUAGCCACUCAGAGAGAACUUUCUACAGCCAGGACUCCCAAUCACCUGAGGAAAAGCUAUGAGGCCAUCAGCUUUCCCUGGUCCCAUGGUUUUCCUUCAGAACCAUGAAGGCCAGAAGCUUUUUUUUUCCCAGUUGAAAGCUGAGAUUCUGUGAGAUCAUUUGACUCCAUAAGCUGGGGCUUGAAUAAAAACAGUAAAUAUCAUGAGACUUGUGAAAAAAAAUCUCUACGGCUGGCUACACUGUUAAUUCUACCUAUAAAAGGGUGUAAAAUGAUAUUUACGGACCUUUGUAAAGCCUAUGAUUGGAAAGUGCUGUAUACAUUCAAAGUAUUUAUUAUUAUUACUUAUACACCCAGAGUCUUGCCCC
Caretta caretta (loggerhead turtle) is the source of this 944-nucleotide non-coding RNA. The record is from RefSeq and is a predicted model, not a curated record. NCBI's taxonomy places the organism in Eukaryota, Metazoa, Chordata, Testudines, Cheloniidae.